Molecule: small nuclear RNA, 104 nt
Organism: Heterocephalus glaber (naked mole-rat)
Lineage: Eukaryota; Metazoa; Chordata; Mammalia; Rodentia; Bathyergidae
Source: Ensembl
GUGCUCGCUUCAGCAGGACAUAUACUAAAAUUGGAGAGAUACAGAGAUUAGCAUGGCCCCUAUGCAAGGAUGACAUGCAAAUUCGUGAAGUAUUCCAUAUUUUU